This 93-nucleotide transfer RNA is filed under the name Zingiber officinale. It matches the Rfam family "tRNA". Rfam says of the family: Transfer RNA (tRNA) molecules are approximately 80 nucleotides in length. Their secondary structure includes four short double-helical elements and three loops (D, anti-codon, and T loops). The record is from Rfam by way of RNAcentral. Lineage: Eukaryota; Viridiplantae; Streptophyta; Magnoliopsida; Zingiberales; Zingiberaceae.
GGAGAGAUGGCUGAGUGGUUGAUAGUUCCGGUCUUGAAAACUGGUAUAGUUUGAACAAAAAAACUAUUGGGGGUUCGAAUCCCUCUCUCUCCU